Molecule: ribosomal RNA, 305 nt
Filed under: uncultured bacterium
Lineage: Bacteria
Description: bacterial SSU rRNA
Rfam family: Bacterial small subunit ribosomal RNA
Source: RNAcentral
UCCUACGGGGGGCAGCAGUGGGGAAUAUUGGGCAAUGGGCGCAAGCCUGACCCAGCAACGCCGCGUGAAGGAAGAAGGCCCUCGGGUUGUAAACUUCUUUUGUCAGGGACGAAGAAAGUGACGGUACCUGACGAAUAAGCCACGGCUAACUACGUGCCAGCAGCCGCGGUAAUACGUAGGGGGCAAGCGUUAUCCGGAUUUACUGGGUGUAAAGGGAGCGUAGACGGUGAUGCAAGUCUGAAGUGAAAGGCGGGGGCCCAACCCCCGGACUGCUUUGGAAACUGUAUGGCUGGAGUGCAGGAGAG